RNAcentral lists this ribosomal RNA (490 nucleotides) under uncultured bacterium. Its description in RNAcentral is "partial 16S ribosomal RNA". It matches the Rfam family "Bacterial small subunit ribosomal RNA", at positions 30 to 507 of the family's 1533-position model. The record is from RNAcentral.
AUUGAACGCUGGCGGCAGGCCUAACACAUGCAAGUCGAAUGGUAACAGGAAACAGCUUGCUGUUUCUCUGACGAGUGGCGGACGGGUGAGUAAUGUCUGGGAAACUGCCUGAUGGAGGGGGAUAACUACUGGAAACGGUAGCUAAUACCGCAUAACGUCGCAAGACCAAAGAGGGGGACCUUCGGGCCUCUUGCCAUCAGAUGUGCCCAGAUGGGAUUAGCUAGUAGGUGGGGUAACGGCUCACCUAGGCGACGAUCCCUAGCUGGUCUGAGAGGAUGACCAGCCACACUGGAACUGAGACACGGUCCAGACUCCUACGGGAGGCAGCAGUGGGGAAUAUUGGACAAUGGGCGCAAGCCUGAUGCAGCCAUGCCGCGUGUAUGAAGAAGGCCUUCGGGUUGUAAAGUACUUUCAGCGGGGAGGAAGGGAGUAAAGUUAAUACCUUUGCUCAUUGACGUUACCCGCAGAAGAAGCACCGGCUAACUCCGUG